Molecule: ribosomal RNA, 256 nt
Filed under: uncultured bacterium
Lineage: Bacteria
Description: partial 16S ribosomal RNA
Rfam family: Bacterial small subunit ribosomal RNA
Source: RNAcentral
CCCGGCAAGGGAUAACCGGCGAACGGGUGCGUAACACGUGAACAACCUGCCCUCGUGGUGGGGGAGUAGCCGGGCUAACGCCCGGGUAAUACCGCAUACGUUCUUUCGGGGGAGUCCCUGGGAGAGGAAAGCUCCGGCGCACGGGGAGGGGUUCGCGGCCUAUCAGCUAGUUGGCGGGGUAAUGGCCCACCAAGGCGACGACGGGUAGCUGGUCUGAGAGGAUGGCCAGCCACAUUGGGACUGAGAGACGGCCCAG